UCCAAGGGUUUAGUCUGCGGAAGGGC
RNAcentral lists this non-coding RNA (26 nucleotides) under Homo sapiens (human). Lineage: Eukaryota; Metazoa; Chordata; Mammalia; Primates; Hominidae. The record is from RNAcentral.